CCUGCUGUUAUUCCCGUUGUCUUUCCUGUUAUUCCCACUGAUAUUCCCGUUGAAUUCCCGUUAUUCUCAUUGAAUAUUCCCAUUGUUUUUCUCAUUAUUCCCGCUGUUAUUCCCGUUGUUUUUCCUGUUGUUUUUCCUGUUGUCUUUCCCAUUAUUCCCAUUGAAUUCCCGUCAUUCCCAUUGUUUUUCCCAUUGUUAUUCCCAUUGUUAUUCCUGUUGUUAUUCCCAUUGNAUUCCCGUCAUUCCCAUUGUUUUUCCUGUUGUUAUUCCUGUUGUUUUUUCCCGUCAUUCCCGUUGUUAUUCCCGUUGAAUUCCCAUUGUCAUUCCCGUCAUUCCCAUUCUUUUUCCCGUUGUUAUUCCCAUCAUUCCCAUUGUUGUUCUGGUUGUUAUUCCCGUUGAAUUCCCAUUAUUCCCAUUGAAUAUUCCCGUUGUUUUUCCUGUUAUUCCCAUUGAAUAUUCCCCUUGUUAUUCCCAUUGAAUCCUCGUUGUUAUUCCCGCUGUUAUUCCCAUUGUUUUUCCUGCUGUUAUUCCCGUUGUUUUUCCUGUUAUUCCCAUUGAAUAUUCCUGUUGUUUUUCCCACUCUUAUUCCCAUUGUUUUUCCCGUUAUUCCCGCUGUUUUUAUCAUUGAAUUCCUGUCAUUCCCAUUGAACAUUCCCGUUGUUUUCUCUGUUGUUUUCCCCGUUGUUUUUCCUAUUAUUCCUGCUGUUUUUCCCACUGUUAUUCCCAUUAUUCCCAUUGUUAUUCCUGCUGUUAUUCCCAUUGUUUUUCCCGUUAUUCCCGUUGUUAUUCCCAUUGAAUUCCCGUUGUUAUUCCCAUAGAAUUCCCAUCAUUCCCAUUGAAUAUUCCCGUUGUUUUUCCCAUUAUUCCCAUUGAAUAUUCCGAUUGUUUUUCCCGUUGUUUUCCCCGUUAUUUUUCCCAUUAUUCCCACUGUUAUUCCCAUUGUUUUUCCCAUUAUUCCCAUUGAAUAUUCCCGUUGUUUUUCUCGUUAUUCCCAUUGAAUAUUCCUGUUGUUUUUCCCAUUAUUCCCACUGAAUAUUCCCAUUGUUUUUCCCGUUAUUCCCAUUGAAUAUUCCCAUUGUUUUUCCCGUUGUUCCCAUUGAAUAUUCCCGUUGUUAUUCCUGUUGUUUUCCCUGUUGUUUUUCCUGUCAUUCCCAUUGAAUAUUCCCAUUGUUUUUCCCGCUGCUAUUCCUGUUUUUAUUCCCGCUGUUAUUCCCGUUGUUUUUCUCGUUAUUCCCACUGAUAUUCCCGUUGAAUUCCCAUCAUUCCCAUUGAAUAUUCCCGCUGUUUUUCCUCUUGAAUUCCCAUAAUUCCCAUUGAAUAUUUCCAUUGUUUUUCCCAUUAUUCCCGCUGUUUUCCUGUUAUUCCCGUUGUUUUUCCCGUUAUUCCCGCUGUUUUUCCC
Molecule: long non-coding RNA, 1399 nt
Filed under: Parus major (Great Tit)
Lineage: Eukaryota; Metazoa; Chordata; Aves; Passeriformes; Paridae
Description: lncRNA (ENSPMJG00000004569.1)
Source: RNAcentral